This is a long non-coding RNA of Macrobrachium nipponense, 1877 nucleotides long. RefSeq lists it as uncharacterized. The record is from RefSeq and is a predicted model, not a curated record. The transcript has 3 exons. Lineage: Eukaryota; Metazoa; Arthropoda; Malacostraca; Decapoda; Palaemonidae.
GGAUGUACGGCUCUACCUUUGUUAGGAGUGUAUGGAAUCGGUAGCCAUGACGGAAUGUACUUGCACUUAUUCUCAUAUCGUAGUUUCUAUAAUCAUCUUCAUGGGCAUAUUGUAGUUACGUACUAUUGUUGUACGGCUCCCGUAGACAUCUCUCCUAUUUAGCCAAUCUUUGCACCACACUCUCGUCUUUUUCUUUGAACUUACGCAAAUUAUUAUGCAGCACGACAGGUUUUCUGAGCAAUACUAGUCAACAUGUUUUUCGUGCGACACACGGCAGUGUACUGGCAUCAUCGUCGGACUUGGGUAAGUCCACCCAUUUGUCAACUCUGCCGUGUGGACAACACUCAUUGGUAAGCCCGGCAGAAUUUGCCCACCGACCGCGCUCCACGGCGAUCACGCCCGCUCUUCUGGACAGGAGAGAGAGAAAGAGAGAGGGAGAGAUUGCAUGCCAGUGCUUCUACAUGCCACGCCCCCUUUUUUAAAGCCACCAAUCACAGAGGCUAUUUUCUCGUUGCACUUGCACCUGGCGAGGCGCUCAGUGAACACGAGUCUGCGGCCUGCGCGACCACUCCAUUCGCCUGCCGUCUUCCACAGCAAAAGCACGAACACCAAAAUAUUCCUACAGUUGAGAAGAAUUAAGUGUCUGGACAUUAUUCCUCUUCUCCACUAAGGUUCUUGCGAGGUGCUCAUCGAACAUAAUGAGGUUCCUUCAAGUAAAAAUCAUGACUCUCCUGUCUUUGGUCCUGCUGGGAGGAGAAGUUGCUGGAAGUGUGGCAGGAUCUCGCAUCAAACGUCAGUCUGGAAAUCCUCCUCCGCUGCAGCCGGCAGCCAACUACGAUCAGAGGAAUCACGGAUGCAAUGACGACUGUCUCGUGAGAGAUGAUGAUUCAGGCUCUUGCGUGGCAAAUGUCGAUUGUUGCAAAAAGGAUUUUAGCGGCCAUGACUUCGAUUGUUGCGAAGGGGGCUGGAAAGCCAAAGGCUGUCGUUAACCAUAAAAGCAAUUUACCUGCUUUUGUUUGUUACCGGCUCCGUUCGAGAGAUGCUCUUACAAUAGCAUAGUCUCAUGAUCAGAGAGUUCAGCCGGUAGUGUUCAUUCUUAUUCAUUCAGUAACUAUUGCUUUUCAUUGGGGGGAGGGGGGGGGCGAGAAAAGUCGUUAUGACCAACUGCCACUUGCACCAGACUACUAAGUUGUGUUGUCCUUCUGUUAAAUUCGUUUUUAAGAGAUGAUGGGGAAACUAACGUCACUUUUGAAUUGUCAUUUUCAUCCAGUAUUAGUUGAGUGUAUAGUCGACAUACGCAGGGCAAAAUCCUAAAAUGUCCCUAAAAAAAUUCUAAACCAAGUUUAAUACAGUGAUGGAAAAGGAAAACACGAUUUCAAAUAUAGGGUUAUAAUAACUGACAAUACAUCAUAAUUCUACGUUUCUCGGGAUAUCUGAAAGACUCACUGGUAAAAUUCUCCUUGUGAAAUGGAUUUUUUCAAACUAUGAUUUUUUUUUUUUGGCCAGUGAAAUCUAGCUUUAGGAUAAUACGAAACUUCCUACAAAAUCGGUGUUAAAACUGGAAGUAUUAAUACUUAUCUUUUAACUAAUGGUUUAGUCAUAUGACAGAAAAUGUCAUAAUCUUUGUUUAUCCUUCACAAACCAUUUUAAACUAGUUUCUUGAGAGACAAAGGCGAUUUUCGGCUGUAGUAUGUUCACCAGUGUACCAUUGUGGUAUGGCUUAUAGUCUCAUUAAGCGUGACCUUAUAACAAUGCAUUAAACGUUUAUCUCAAAUGUGGGAUUUGUGUAUCACUUAAUGUUCUGUUUAUUUGUAACAUUGUUUCCUUCAUAAAUUGUAAUCAGUCUGAUUUUGAAAGCAAUAAAAUGAAGUAUGUGU